AUGGAUGUUGUUGUCCGGAGCUGCCGGCUGUGGGCCUGCUCUCAGAAGGAGUCUUGCGCUCUCCAACCCUGCUUGCUCCAUCUCUCUUGCAGGGGAACAUUGUUGUUCUCAGUAGGUUUGGACCUGAGGGGGCAGAGGGGGAAUGGAGAUUAUGUGAAGAAGAAUUGGUGUGAGGGAGUGCUGGUGGGUGUCGAGAUUAGCAGCGGUGAGCGCUGGGAAGCUGCUAAUGGCAACAUCAGCAGGAAUGAGAGGAAAGGCGGCCAUUUCCUGCGCUUCCUUGGCCUUUGGUGUGUCUUCGGCCUGCUCCUGGCAUUACAGUCCAGCAGCUCUCCCUGUAAGUGCACGUUGCCUGGAUGGGAAGAGAUGCUUUUGCUCUGGCAAUGGAUCUUGCAGGGGUGUGUGGCCAAGCAAGGAGCACCUGGGUUAAAUAACGCCUGUGGCACGACCUAUGCCUUCUGCAGGACCAGAGAUCUGUGCAAAGCUGGAUUCCCUGCGGGCGCUGCCGGAGCCUGCUGCAGUCUGUCGGGACCAGCCGCUUGCCAUCUGCUGUGGGAACAGGCAGCAGAGAGCAUGCACCGUGACGGGGUGAGCAAGAGCAAACCAGCCUGCUGCGACAAGAAACUCAAGGGGACUGAAGAUGGCACCCGCAUUUUGGGACAGACAGAGAGUCAGCUGCUGCCUCUGGAGCAGAGCUCCACAGCCAGAUGCCUCCUGCAGUGA
This 720-nucleotide long non-coding RNA is filed under the name Anas platyrhynchos platyrhynchos (common mallard). RNAcentral describes it as "lncRNA (ENSAPLG00000027206.1)". Lineage: Eukaryota; Metazoa; Chordata; Aves; Anseriformes; Anatidae. The record is from RNAcentral.